GUCCAUGCCGUAAACGUUGGGCGCUAGAUGUAGGGACCUUUCCACGGUUUCUGUGUCGUAGCUAACGCAUUAAGCGCCCCGCCUGGGGAGUACGGCCGCAAGGCUAAAACUCAAAGGAAUUGACGGGGGCCCGCACAAGCGGCGGAGCAUGCGGAUUAAUUCGAUGCAACGCGAAGAACCUUACCAAGGCUUGACAUACACCGGAAACGGCCAGAGAUGGUCGCCCCCUUGUGGUCGGUGUACAGGUGGUGCAUGGUUGUCGU
RNAcentral lists this ribosomal RNA (263 nucleotides) under uncultured bacterium. Its description in RNAcentral is "partial 16S ribosomal RNA". It matches the Rfam family "Bacterial small subunit ribosomal RNA", at positions 793 to 1055 of the family's 1533-position model. The record is from RNAcentral.